GGCGGCGGUGGAGGCGGAGG
Molecule: microRNA, 20 nt
Filed under: Macrophomina phaseolina MS6
Lineage: Eukaryota; Fungi; Ascomycota; Dothideomycetes; Botryosphaeriales; Botryosphaeriaceae
Description: miR-3960
Source: RNAcentral